UUCCAGACUCCUACGGGAGGCAGCAGUGGGGGAUAUUGCACAAUGGGGGGAACCCUGAUGCAGCGACGCCGCGUGGGUGAAGAAGUAUUUCGGUAUGUAAAGCCCUAUCGGCAGGGAAGAAAUUGGACGGUACCUGACUAAGAAGCCCCGGCUAACUACGUGCCAGCAGCCGCGGUAAUACGUAGGGGGCAAGCGUUAUCCGGAUUCACUGGGUGUAAAGGGAGCGUAGACGGCCAUGCAAGCCUGGAGUGAAAGCCCGGGGCCCAACCCCGGGACUGCUCUGGGAACUGUGCGGCUGGAGUGCGGGAGGGGCAGGCGGAAUUCCUGGUGUAGCGGUGAAAUGCGUAGAUAUCAGGAGGAACACCGGCGGCGAAGGCGGCCUGCUGGACCGCGACUGACGUUGAGGCUCGAAAGCGUGGGGAGCAAACAGGAUUAGAUACCCCGGUA
RNAcentral lists this ribosomal RNA (447 nucleotides) under uncultured bacterium. Its description in RNAcentral is "bacterial SSU rRNA". It matches the Rfam family "Bacterial small subunit ribosomal RNA", at positions 329 to 792 of the family's 1533-position model. The record is from RNAcentral.